AAGGGGAGCAAUCCCUGAGUACAGCGGCGUACGGGUGAGUAACACGUGGAUAAUCUACCUCUUAGUGGGGAAUAACCCUGGGAAACCGGGGCUAAUACCGCAUAAGCCUGUAAAGGGAAAGCGCCUAUUUAAAAGAUGGGCGCGCUGGGAGAGGAGUCCGCGGCCGAUUAGCUAGUUGGUGAGGUAAUGGCCCACCAAGGCGACGAUCGGUAGCCGGCCUGAGAGGGCACACGGCCACACUGGCACUGAAACACGGGCCAGACUCCUACGGGAGGCAGCAGUGGGGAAUCUUGCACAAUGGGGGAAACCCUGAUGCAGCGACGCCGCGUGAGCGAUGAAGCCCUUCGGGGUGUAAAGCUCUUUCGGCAGGAACGAUAAUGACGGUACCUGAAGAAGAAGCUGCGGCUAACUACGUGCCAG
RNAcentral lists this ribosomal RNA (420 nucleotides) under uncultured bacterium. RNAcentral describes it as "bacterial SSU rRNA". It matches the Rfam family "Bacterial small subunit ribosomal RNA", at positions 72 to 511 of the family's 1533-position model. The record is from RNAcentral.